This 73-nucleotide transfer RNA is filed under the name Flavobacterium sp. RNAcentral's name for it is "tRNA-Ala". It matches the Rfam family "tRNA". Rfam says of the family: Transfer RNA (tRNA) molecules are approximately 80 nucleotides in length. Their secondary structure includes four short double-helical elements and three loops (D, anti-codon, and T loops). The record is from RNAcentral. Lineage: Bacteria; Pseudomonadati; Bacteroidota; Flavobacteriia; Flavobacteriales; Flavobacteriaceae.
GGGGGAUUAGCUCAUUUGAUAGAGCGCUUGCCUGGCAGGCAAGAGGUGGUCGGUUCGAAUCCGAUAUUCUCCA